CCUACGGGAGGCAGCAGUGGGGAAUAUUGCACAAUGGGGGAAACCCUGAUGCAGCAACGCCGCGUGAGGGAAGAAGUAUUUCGGGAUGUAAAGCUCUAUCAGCAGGGAAGAAAAUGACGGUACCUGAGUAGGAAGCCCCGGCUAACACCGGGCCAGCAGCCGCGGUAAUACGGAGGGGGCAAGCGUUAUCCGGAUUUACUGGGUGUAAAGGGGGCGUAGACGGUGAGACAAGUCAGUAGUGAAAGCCCGGGGCUCAACCCCGGGACUGCUUUGGAAACUGUCUGACUGGAGUGCUGGAGAGGCAAGCGGAAUUCCUAGUGUAGCGGUGAAAUGCGUAGAUAUUAGGAAGAACACCAGUGGCGAAGGCGGCUUGCUGGACAGUAACUGACGUUGAGGCUCGAAAGCGUGGGGAGCAAACAGGAUUAGAUACCCCAGUAGUC
RNAcentral lists this ribosomal RNA (440 nucleotides) under uncultured bacterium. RNAcentral's name for it is "partial 16S ribosomal RNA". It matches the Rfam family "Bacterial small subunit ribosomal RNA", at positions 338 to 795 of the family's 1533-position model. The record is from RNAcentral.